This is an RNA transcript of Drosophila obscura, 394 nucleotides long. RefSeq lists it as uncharacterized. The record is from RefSeq and is a predicted model, not a curated record. Lineage: Eukaryota; Metazoa; Arthropoda; Insecta; Diptera; Drosophilidae. The transcript is spliced from 2 exons.
GGUUUUAUUAUAUACCAUCGAUAACUUAAUACAAUCGUGCACUAUUAGCUAUUCCUCAUGGCAGUUAUGUUUUCAAUUUUUGCAAUUAAAUUUUAAUAUUUUAAGUGUACGACGUAUGGUGUAACAUCGUAUUCACAUUUUUAGGCCAACAAAACAUUUUUUGCCACAAUAUGGCUACAAAACCAUCGAUGUCAAAAUCUAGCCUGAGAUAAGCUAAAAGGCCAGCACUGAUGGCAGCGCAGCGGCAGAGAAACCGGCAGAAUGCGCCAGAGAUUUCAUACUUUCAGUCAGCUCUGUCGCCAUGUUGAGUCGAGAAACAUUCGCAGGCUGGCCAGGAAAUUUAGCGCUUACAAAUUAGCGAAAAGCUUCAUAAAUAAAUACAAUCCUACAAGCA